CUUUUUCAGCUGCCCAGUCUUGUAAUUUUCCAAAGGAAAUAACGCCUGAAAACGGUGGUUCCCCGGCUACUGAUUCUAUACUUCGGACUCUUAUAUUUAUUAACACUAAUACAGCAUUUAACCUAAAAUUUAUAAGUGGUGGUGUCACCGUUAAAGAUACAACGAUAUCAGACUUUAUCUGUCAACAGCAAGAUAAAGACUUCUAUCUUCUAAAGU
Molecule: long non-coding RNA, 216 nt
Filed under: Mytilus galloprovincialis (Mediterranean mussel)
Lineage: Eukaryota; Metazoa; Mollusca; Bivalvia; Mytilida; Mytilidae
Source: RNAcentral